UGGGGUAUGGCCAAGCGGUAAGGCAUCGGUUUUUGGUAUCGUGAUCCCUGGUUCGAAUCCAGGUACCCCAGCCA
This 74-nucleotide transfer RNA is filed under the name Alcanivorax sp. RNAcentral's name for it is "tRNA-Gln". It matches the Rfam family "tRNA". From Rfam's summary of the family: Transfer RNA (tRNA) molecules are approximately 80 nucleotides in length. Their secondary structure includes four short double-helical elements and three loops (D, anti-codon, and T loops). RNAcentral also lists the same sequence under 2 other names. The record is from RNAcentral. Lineage: Bacteria; Pseudomonadati; Pseudomonadota; Gammaproteobacteria; Oceanospirillales; Alcanivoracaceae.